CACCGGCCCCCAGCCCGACGUCCGCCGCCGGCGCCCUCAUCCCGAAUCUCGCCGUCGCCGUUCUCGCCUCGUCCGUCGUCCUCCUCCUCCUCGGAUCCGUCCGUCACUGAGUGAUCCUGGGCGUAGACUAGUCAUUCCAGGGUGGAAUUGGGUCGUCUUUAGGGUUUCUUUCAAUAAGGGUGGUGGUGAUGGCGAUCGAUGAGUUUUUUUAACGCUUAGUAUGGGGUCUCUAGUGCGUGUGUGUGUAGAUAUGAUAUGCUUUGGCUGCAGAGAUUGAUGUGUUAUUAAUAGUUCUGUUUGUCUUUCUUUAGUUCAUGUUCAUGAUUUGUUGGUGAGAUUUUGUGGUGUGUGAUGGAUGGAUUGAUCUAUGGUUGAUGCAACCGAUGUCUGAGAUUAUUCUGGUGCCAUAAAUCUCCAAGCUUCCACUCUUUGUGAGGCCAGAGUGGAUCGAUGGGUCAAAAACACAACUUUGGGUUCCCAUCUUCCGAUCGAGAAAGCGAGUUCAUCGAUCAGCGUGCUGUGUCAUCGUACCUGUGCGCCGACGAGAGGGACCCGAGAUUUGUGCCUCUUUACCAACAAAGCAUGUGGUGGUGGCCCGAUGCCCUCAGGAGGAGGAUGACGAUCGAGGCAUAGCAUUUGGAAUCGAAGAUGCCGCUUCUUCAGUUACUUGAGCGGCUCAUCUUUGGGCAAAAGGGGAGAAGCAUCCUCGCUGUAAUAAAAAGAGAAUUGUUCUUGUCAUGACUUCUCAGUGACUCUUUACGUAAGUGCGUGAAUCUAUCUAUCUUUAACUCCAACUCCCCAACUUUCUCAUAUUUCCAGGUUGUAAACCAAAAGCAUAUUUUCAUAUUAGAUGUAUUUAUUUAUAUUAGAACAACUGUCAAGUGAGUCCCAACCACAAACCUUUAGGCAAAGGGUCGCAUCGCCGAAGUGCCACACUCACCUAUUCUUUUACUUAAAUAAACCCGAAUGCCAGAGGAAAGAAGGGUCCAUCACAUGAAUCCCUGACAGACACUUCCUCUUCCAUAUAUCUUUCUUAUUACGCUUCUUUGUCUUCCAUGUAGUUUUGUCAUCACACCCAGUUGGAGACAUGGCCUGUUAGAGGUCACCGAAACAGAACUUUCUGGUUCCCGUUGGACGUCGAGGAAGAUGGCUCUGUCCAAACUGCAGAGGAUGGAAGGCACUGACGAUGACACUUCACCAGCCAGGCUUCUUUUUUUAUCUUUGUGACGGGGACCUUUAACGCGUCAAAUUCAUAUUUGGGGAAGGAAUCUAAAUAGAAGCAGAAAGAUGAGGUGCCAAGACUUACUUUGCAUGCUAUAUAUGUGUAUGAACAUAUACUUAAACCAAGUCUUAUUAAACAUGCAAUGGGGUUGAGGGAAUGAAGAUGAUAAAUGUGUUAUUGUAGGCUUGUCGUAUGUGCUUGAUACAGAAAAGAUGAAUGCUUCCAUGACCACUACUUUUGACAGAGAGUAAAUACCUCGAGUGAAUCAUUUACAAAAAAAGGCAUCUCACGAACUCUGGAGUCUCAAUCUGACACAGAUUUCUCCAGCUACUGUCACUCUGGUCACAUUUCGAACCCACGGCCAGGCAUUAGUGACAUGAUUGGGUCAGGAACUAAAGCCUCUGUGGAGAGAAGACCAGCUGUUUGAGGGAAACCUCAGGCAAGCUUGAGCAGAAACCUCGGCCAUGGUUUCCUCCCUGAUGCCUGCAUUGCAGAUGUUUGCUAGGGACCUCAUGUGUUUCAUUCCAUACUGAGAUAAAGACCCACAGUAUGUUUCGAAGGCCCGUACCUACAACAACAAAAAGCAACGACAGCAUUGAAAUCAAAUGAUAAGUUAUGAUCUAGUCUAGAGAAUAUUCAACGAGAUCCAAGUUCUUUUUUAACAUCAACCAAUCGUUGAAACCGGUCUUUCGAGCGCCAAUCCUCGGAUUUCAUCAUCACAUACAUAUUUAGAGGAAGCAUUGACCUAGAAUGCAGUAUCUCACAGUACUCCAAGAAACUGAAUUGCCCUAGUAACAUAUCGAUCGACCAAAGAUUUAGAUAUGGUUUCUGUGAUGAUUCUUAGAAAAGACAAACAUAAGAGAUGGUUAUGAAGAGGCAAUUAAGAUUGAAACCAUGAGAAAAAGCUGGAAUAAUUGGGAUGUGCAAUUAGUCAUAGCAAUUUUCCUAUCACAAUUGCUGUCAGCCAGGAAUAGAGCUGCAACCUCAAAACAAUUUAGAAAUCAACUGUAUAUGUAUCAUGCUAGAGUACAAUUUUACAUGAAGUGACGAGGUGCCUAAUGUAGGUAAGAUGAAGUUUUCAGUUGCUUAGUUGUGAGUUUUAGUGUCUCAUACUAAGUGUGUUGUCUCAGCAACAAGACCACAUUGCAAAGCAAAAGAGGACUUCAUAGGAGGAUUCAGAGAUACAUCUAAGUUCAAUAUGUCGAAAGGUUAAGAUGAUCGGUUUACUCACCAUUGACUUGAGACAGGACCAGUCAUCCACUAAAGGCUGGCCAGCUGGUCGGACACUCUCGAGCACUUCAGGCCCUUGCUCGGAACCAAAAAGAAGCUUUCCAAUAAGUUGUAUACUGGUAUCUAUAUGCAGACGAUGUUCCAUUACUUCUAGUAGAUGCUUUUGAGCGUUAAGUUUCUGAUGGGAACCUUCAGGUGCCCUAUGAAACUUCGAAUAAGAAAAAAAAAAAAAAAUUAGUUGCAUAACAACAAAAGCAGCAUGGGCAAAGUGAUGUUUUAAAACCUAAUGUUGCAUAAAAGAUUCAAAGAACUUAUAAAUAAAAUGAACCUUAUGCCAGAAAUGAAUUAGAUCUGCAUCACGUUGGUUCACGGCCUCUGGUAAUGGUGGCAAGGAAUUAUAAUCAACAUAAGUGGGAUUAUCAUUGGCAGGAUUAGAACCUACGUACGAAACAAGUUUUUUUGCAUUUAGAUCCAGAUCCCCGUAUUGCAUGACAUGAGAACCAAAUAAAUAUGUCCUGUGAACUGCAGUCCUGGUUUUGACCUGCAAAGAUUAAUAGAAGUGCUUAAACGGACAGCUACAGAAACAGGUGACAUACGAUGAGGAAACUACGACAUCAAGUGCGUACAAGUUGAUACUGCUGCUUCAGUGUUUCAAUCUGCCAAUUGUGCAUAUAGCUGAUCAUGCAAAAAAAAUAACCAUGUAAGAUAACUAAAACCAAAAAGGUCAAUGGACAUCCAAGAUAUGACACACUACUUGACUGAUUUAUACACAAACAAGUAGGAUUAUAUUCUAUUUCUGUUUAUAUAUUCUAUCAGAAUACUUUUUUUCAGUUUAAUCAAAAGAAACCAUUAACUCAUCUGCAUCAAGAAGACCUAAAAGAGGAUCAUUAUUUUCUAAAAGAAAAUUCAAGCUAUACAAGGAUAAAUGACAUGCUGACGUGCCAAAAUAUAAAGCCAAGAAUAUCAUGCAACAACACUGGAUCUUUUUCUUUGUUUCUCUUUUUUCUGCUGUAAUAUCACUAGAUCUCAAGAAAGAAUAGAAGGUACAGUUUCAUUUUCUCUCAAACAGAAUGCUCACAUAAAGAUGCACAAUCUUGUAUGUAGAAAUGUUAUCCAAAAAGCAGAUGCAUAUAUUCGUCGACAACAAAAGAUGCUCAUUAUAUCAGAUAACCAGGAUGCUUCAUUUGGUGGAGAAGGUUUACACACCUGUCUUCCAUCCAAGAAACACUAUACAGAUCCCCCAAACAGGUAGAGUAUUCUGGAGGAGGGGAAGGGAACAUUCCGGGGCAGUAAGUUCCAUAACUACUCUCUGUAGUAUUUGCUGCAGUGGUUGCAUAUACUUUUAUAUUGUCUGGGAGAAGGCCCUCAAAAAUACUCCCAGAUUCACAAGCUUCAAGAUAAAAUACCUACAUAGUAAAACACGAACAAAUAUAAACUACAAUAUAAAAAAGUUAUGACAGUGCAUACGCAGGGUAUAUAAUAGAUGUUACCAUGCUUUUAAAGGAUCCAGAAGCAUGUUUUUUCUUUAACACGGCAAUCAAGUCAUCCGCAUAAAGGUAAGGAUAAGUGGGCAUCCCUAAGAAGUUUUAGAACAGAAAUUAGAAAAGCUAUCAUUCUGAUGCUACAAGUGUGGAGUCAGAAAAUAGAACAUUUGAGGAACUAAACCCGAUCCCAUGAGAUUCUCAAAUAAGCUGAGGUUUCACAAACUUUUACAACUUCACAGUAAAAUUGCAGCUAGUCAUAAUUCAAAGUUCUACAACUUCAGAAAAAGAACUACAUUCUCUUUCUUAUGGAAAUAUACGAAACCAAACAAACAAUUUAAUAAUUGGACUUACAAUGGCACAAUAAUAAGAAACAUAUAGUCCAACUAACCAAGUACUCCAGGUCCACCGUGAUCAGAGUAGAAAACGAAGAUAUGAUCAUUUGGAGCACUAUUAACAACCUUCCCACUUCCUCCAGACAAAGCAGUCUUGUUUCCCAGGAGUACAGCAAAGAAGUUGUUCACGUUAACAUCAUCUCCAACAUAGUCCUGCAAAGGAUUAUUCCAAACUUAGACAAGAGCCCAUGAUGAUGGACAGGAACUGUAAAUAUAAAUGUGAGAAAGAGAAAACCUUUGGCACUCCAGCAUAAACAUCUUCACCCCAUGGAUCAUUGAUAAUGACCCCAGGUCUAGGAUUAUCCUCAUUAUUAGCAAUGUCAUCAUACAUGAAAACAAUGAUAUUCUCAUCUUGCAAUCCACCCUUUUUCAGGACUUGGUAUGCAUGACAUACAUCAGCCUGAAGAAAGAAUUCAAAGAGAAGUGUUGAUAUUAGGCAAAAUUAACCAGAACUGAAUCAAGACAUGGAUGGAUGUUUUUAAUUUUGCAUAAAAAUGAUUUCCUAUUUAUGAUUACAGAAGAACUCACUAAGAAAUGGUCAAGCUGCAAAAAGAUAGCCACUUUAUAUAAUAAAAGUUGUCUGGCUAAAAAUAAUCAAUUGCCACUAAUUGUCAAUAUUCCAGUCAACAGCAAACUCCAAAAGCCUGGUGUCUUGUGAAGGCACAGUACAUUCAUUUUUGAAUUAGAGAAACACACUCCUCAUACAAAUGAUAUAAAUGACAUAAACAAUGAUAAAAGAACUUCCAAUCAGCAUUCGUAGUUGCUAUCAGUGUAACUUUAGGCAUUUUGUGUAACUAAAUGGUUGUGUAACUAAACAGUGAAUGUUUAUGUUACACCAUAAUUACGGAGGCAAUUAUGCAAUAUCAUAUAAAGGUAAUCCGAACGAGGCUUUUGUCGUUAUGUGCUUCAGAGUGUAUCAGAUACAGAUGGUCAUUAUACCCUCAGAUGUGUAGAGGGCGCUUCCGUGAUCUAACCCAUGACUAGGGGUGUUCAAACCUGUUCGAACCAAACUAUUAAGGGUCAAACCAAACCGAAUCAUUUUUUCAAUUUGAUUAGGUUAAAGUAAGGUAGUCCGAACUAGAACCAAUUCAAAACCGGUUAACUUGGUUCUGUUAACCGGUUUGUAAUUUCAUACAACUAAAAAAUAUAUUUUUUUUAAAUGAACCGGUUCAAUUCAAUUAAACCGAACCGAAAUCUUGGUCCAAUUGAGCAUCAUGACAAUCUUUGUGAAAUUGAGUCCACAUCAUAUGUAAAAUUGAGCCUUUGGGUCAGUUUUAUUGAUCAAUUUAAAUUGAUUAAGGGCUUAGGAUAGUAAACUCAACCAGAUUGAUAUCCUUUAAAUUAAGACUGGUUCAGUUCGAUCGAACCAGUUUAACCAAACUGAAGAAAGUUACCAUCGAACUGGAACCAUUUAUAGCCUCCAAAACUAAACCACUGGUGAAUCAGUUCUGACUGAACUGGUUUUGAAUUGGUUUGGUUCCGGUUCAGUUCGAUUUGAAUACCCUUACCCAUGACACCCAAACUGUAGUAGACAACUUUAGUGUCCAUUAAGGUUUGUUCCCUACUUCUGUGGAAAAAGAUAGCAAGCUAAACUUAAUAAAUGACAAUUGUAAGGUUGAAAACAUCAAAUUGAAUUUUAUACAAUUUUGAUAUUGUCUAUAGCCGAAACUUUGCAUAAUGAGCAGAAAAAUAUUUCAAAUUUGUUUUCCAAAAUUAGUACAAUUUUGUAGAUAUGCUAGUAUUGUGCUAAAGAGCAACUAAAAUGAUUUUCUUUUUCCACAUAAAAAGAAAAUUAAUUGGUGAUCUCUGGAAUCCAAUCAGUUAUAACCCAUCUCACAAUCAAACCUCAAAGAAGUGGAAACAACUAUACAAAAUAUCUAUCUACAUCGAGCUCUUUUAAACAAGGGUCAAUGUUCCUUAUCAAGCGAUGAUUCAGCUCUAGGCCAACCACGAUAAAAAAAUUCCAAGAGCUCACCAAUAGUUUACCGAACAGAUGCAAACUUUUUUAUGUUUCUGUAUGAAGUAAAUAAUAAACCAAUAGGAACAGCUUCGAGGGUUGAAAAAUGGAAUCAGAAGAACACAAAAUGACAGAAAUAUCGAAUAACAUUUAUGCAUAUAUGCUACCGCUACAACCCAACAAAGGGGACCGCAUACAUUUAAUUAGGCAAGAGAAAAUAGCAUGAGGAAAUGCCAGUAAUCAUGUCUGAUCAAUAUACUUUCCACAACCACGAGUCAAACCUAAACGUCUUUGCCUACCAAUUCUUUGAUCAUGAAGAAUUCAUCGGAAAAAUUGAGCUCGUGCCGCAUUCCGCAAGCACGUUAAUCAAAAUAUGGUCCUGUAUAUGCUAUCUAAUUGCGAAAUAUCAGAAAUUUCUUCGAGAAAUCCUUCAAAAGAACGCGCUGGUCCCUCGGGCACGCUAUUGACAAUAACGGUAACAUGAAACAAACAACGUUGACGAACGCGACAAAAUAAUAGAUUUCCAAACAGGAAGGCGGUUUGUUACUCCGAGAAGACGUUUUUGUUUCCUUCUUUCUCCAUGGAAAAAAUCAUGAGACGGAAGUGGGAGACGAUAUACCUGAUGGCGGUAGUUGUAGUAUCCAUUGGAUCCGGCAAUGAGGACCGCCCACCUCGUCCCCAAAGGGUCGCCCUCACCGAUGAUCGGUUUUGCCACGCGAUCGGACGGCAACCUUAUGGGAUCGAGGCGGGAUUCGACGAGCAGCAGCGGGACGAGGACGAGGACGAGGACGAGGCGGCGAAGCGCGCCGGCGGCAAAGCGGGCCAUCGUAACCGUUUCGGACGUAUCAAGGCGGAAGAGAUCCGAUAUAUCCGAUGUGGAUCGCUUACUCCGUAACGGAGGAGCGCCCCAAACAGAGGCAGGCCGCGAUUAGUGCUGACCAUUUAUAGGCCGCGGCGCGGGUCACCCCGAUAUAUUGGCCAUGGGAUCUGCUCGACGACGACGUGGAUCCGUCGCCACCGUCCCUUUUAUUGUUGGCUGAAUAUGACGCGGCCGUGGGACCGGGAACAAAGAUUAUCCCGACACUGCGGGACGGCGAACGUGACGUACCCAAAUCACUCACCUGUCCUUUAAAUGGAUGCAGCGUGUGGGACCACCUUCUUUGGGGGGACGUGUUGUCAUUCUUGGAACACACGUAGCACAAGGCCUUUUCCAAACGUAUCAAGGAGUUGAUCGUUUAACACGAAUCUCAACGGACGUAGAUUCGAUAUUGAUUUAAUACAAACAUCGCUUCGGAUUUUUAUUCUUAUGUUGAAAGCUUAUAUCUGUUAACAGCUUCACUGCGUUACCGUGGUGUUCAACCUACACGCUUCAUGAUAGGACAACAAGCAUGGGUCCCAUGCUGACUCUGCUGAACCGGUUCGCUGCUGAACGCGAAGGGGUAGGAAAAGUACCAUGUCGUGGCUGUAUCUCAAGCAAACAUUUUGGGCCCCAGAAGAGGUUGGUACGUAUGUCCUCGCGCGUAAGCUAUACGCGUCGGGAGUCCCUUUGGGAUGGACACCAAAGACGCUUGGAGACUCCACCACGACUCGUGGUGUCCCCGUGACGAAGCACAUUGAUGACUUCCCAAGUUUCUCUUUAAAUGAGCUCCUCGAUCCUUCGCCCAAACCUUUCUCUCUAUUUCGACUCCUCCACAUCCGUUUCUACGAGGUCUUCUUGAGUUAGGGUUCCGAGGGUUGGUCCGUCAUGAAUCCCGAAUAGUAAGCUUCUCCGAUCCUCGAUUUCUUUUCUUUUCCUUUACCAAGAAGUCUCUUGUCUGCUAUUAACUAGGGUUUUCUGUUCUUUGCGGCUUUUGAUUCGGCAGAUCGUCUCGUUUUCUUUUGGUUUUUUUUUUCUCGAUUUCCUAAUUUUCGGCAUGCUUUAGCCGGCUUUUCUCUCUUCAGGGGCGAGCGAGUUCAGGAUAUUAAUGUGACGAGGGUUUUUCCCCCUUUUCUUUUGCCGCACUAGUUGGCGACCAAAAUUCUACUGUUAAUGUCUGUUGUGAUGUGUGUAGAUCAGUCUCGGCAUGGAAUAUGAGAUCAUAAUGACCAAUAUUGGACCUUUUAUUAUUAGAAACUGGAUUCAAACAUUUGGUGCGUCCAUUGUGGCUAUCAGCUUUACCUCCUUUGAUGUGUGAUUUCAGCCAUCACAUCCACUUUGUGAGAAAGCUGAAUCCAUGUGAUGAUUAUGAGCACUCGUACAUGCUUUCACUAGAAAAUAAACGAAAGGAUAAACUAUUGUGUAAAGUAUCUUCUAACUUCGUGAGUUAUGUCUGAACUGAUAAAAUAACGAUCCAAGUUUGAUUUUUUUUUUUGUUUCAUGAGAUCAAAGGACAAUUUUGCAUAAAAAGAUAUUUAUUUUUUGUUUUCUCUCAUCUUUCUCGAAGUUUCAGUUUGUAGUACAGAUUCUAGUAAAGAUCUGUUGCGGAUAAAAUAAUCAGAUAUAGAUUUUUAACACUCUAUCGUGGAAAAAUUAGACUAGGAAGUUUUGUAAUUCAUGAUUUUCUUUUUUCUUUUUGUGCUAUCAUUGUUUGAGUGUGUCCUUGUCAUUUUAAUUUAGUUGAAACUGCUAAAUGGUGAUAAUUUUUCAACUAUGUUAAAAAUGAUAGAAUUUUGUUCUUUUGUAGGUAUGUUUUGCAGAUCCAUAAUACAUGUUUUUUAUUAUUAUUUUUUAUCAUUUUUUUAUAUCUUUGUUGAGCUUUUUGAUUUCUGAUGUGGUUAAAACUGAAACAGAUGAUGAAAAUUUUUCAAAACUGUUGAAGACGACAGUAUUUUGCUUCUUUUACCAGCUGUAAUUAAGCAUUGAAACUAUAUAAUAUCCUUGGUUUUUUGCAGCAGAAUAUUUUGUUGCUGCAUGAGAAUGAUUCUUAUCUGUUAUUUUCUAAUUCAUAAGAGACUUUUUUUUUAUGUUUGAUGAUUUUGUGAAUUGCUGAUAAGAUGAAGUUUUAGUCUAAGAUUGGUAAAACAAUUGUAAUAGAUAAUUAGAAAUGAUACCAUGGUGCAAGUGGAUAAUGAAUAAGGACUCAGAGGAACCUGCCCUUUCAGAGCUAAGGCAUAUAUAGGAAUAGGACCAAGUUCUUAUAUGGCAAGUAUAAAUUGAAAUAUGAGAUUCCAACUGAUUUAUAUAGAUCCUGGGAUGUUUUGAGAUUCCAUCAUACCAAAUUGAGCCAUUCUCACAUGGCAUCAAGUGUUAUACCUUUAGAUGGACUACCUCAUAGAUAUCUGCAGGUUCAUCAAUGUCUUUUGUUUGGAAAUGUUUCUUAUGAAGUGAAAAAAACACUCAUUAACAGAUUGAUAAAUUUUUUAGGGGAAAAAAAAACAGAUUGAUGAAGUUACAUUUAAUAAAAUGAAAAUUACAAUUUUGAUAGAACAUAUAAUAUUGAUUGCUAAAAAAAAACUAUUUUGAUGCAUAAAUAGAACAAUCCCUUGCAUGACUUAGUAUUAAGAAACAAAAAUAGAACAAUCCCUUGUAUGGCUUAGUAUUAAGAAGUUAUCUUAUUGCUAUUAUAGAAGUAUGCCAUAUAUGGAUUAGUAUUUUUGACUUUUGGUGUGAUAUAUCAAAUCAGAACUUGUGACAAUGUUAUUCCUAGUAAAUAUUAACAUUUAAUGUCAAGUAUUUCUUACUGAAGAAAGAAACAUGGCAUUUUGGAGACUACUUUUGUGCUAGUCAGGUCUAAGUUUAGCAGUUCUCUCCCUCAUCUUGAUUAAUGAGUGCAGUAAAUAGACUCCAAGCUGCCAAAUUAGACUUAAGUAGAAAUCUAAUGGCUCAUGAUACUCCAGUUUCUCAAAUGGGAGACAAAAAUAGGAACAAAGAUAUGCUGAUUUUCUCUACUUGUUGGGACCUGUGAAUUUAUUUUGCUCAGACUUGCUGUUAUGUGGUAUGUCAGCAAAUAUUUUCUUAUAAAAAAUAGUUGUUAUUGAAGCUAUAUAUCAACCAUAUGCAUUGAUUUUAGCACUCAUAUUUUAGUGGGUUGUAACUUUGUAAUUGCUUAACAGUUUUUGUAGCAUUAGGUACAGAUUCACCUAUGUCCAUUUUUCUAGCAUGGAGAAAAGUUGAGAUUGAUGCAAUUUUAUUUAUUAGGGAAUAGAAACUCUGAAUAUCAACAUCUAUGACCAAUGUAUAUAUUGCAGUGACUAUCUUUUCAAGCUUCUGCUUAUUGGGGAUUCGGGGGUUGGAAAAUCAUGCCUUCUACUUAGAUUUGCGGUGAAGAUCUCCUCUUUUGUCUUCUUUUCUAGUUCUUUGGAACUUGCUAUCAUCUUAUGAUAAUACUCUGUUGUGCUACUUUUGGCUUUUUCUAUGACACUAUAUCUUUUACUGUAGGAACAUUGUUACCAUGGAGGCAUACUGUUUUGAUCAUAUGGGAACAUUAUGUGUAACUGUCCAAUUUUAGGUCAUGUAUUUGUUGUGUUUGCUCAUUCUUUAUUCAUGUAUGGUGGCAGUUUCUAGUUCAACUAUUUCUUGUUGAAAAUAAGCACACACAUUGUUUACAUAUAUGAUCUCUGAUUGUUGAUUUUCUAUGAUGCACACACAUAAUAUCCCUUUCCAUUAUAUUUAAAUUCAUAACAGUUGAGAUUAAUUUUUUAUUUUGUGAUAUCGAAAUAAAUUAAUAAUUAUGCACUUAAUCAUAUUAAUUUAUUUUGAUUUCACAUAAUGAAAAGUUAAUCUCAACCGUUGGGGAUUUAAAUGUAAUUACAAGAGACAUCAUGCCGUAUGGUAAACAAAAGUUUGUUUAUCUAGAAAUUAUGAUUUUAUUAUCUUGUCUUUAUCGAUAUGAGAAUUCAUGAGUGUUAAAUUAAUACCAAGGAUCAUUAUAAAACCUGACAGAACAUAUAAUGAUUACAUGAAAGAACCUCCUAAAAUAUAAGUGUUCUGAAUAAGGUUUAGGGUGGAACAAUAUGUGUAUUAUGGAAAACCAACAAUCAGAGAUCAUAUAAGCAAAUAGUGUAUGUGCUUGUUUUCAGGAAGAAAAUAGUUGAAGCAGGAAUUGCUGCGGUAGACGAAUAAAGAAUGAGCAAACACAACAUAUGUAUAAAUUGGAAGACCUUGUAGAUGAUUCCAGUCCAAGGAAACCCUUAGGCAUAUUAUUUACUGUGCCCGUUGUUGAGAUCAUCAGUUGAGAUCAUCAUUCUUCCGUUUCAGGUAUAUUAGUUUUAGGAAGUUGGAAGUCUCUUUUCCUUCUUAGGAUAUUUCUAUUUGAUGUAAUCAGGCAAGGUUUGUGAGUUACUGACUUCUCCCAACCCCCCAAGAGUUUCCCCCCUCAGGUUCUAAAUUCAUGAGAUGUAUUUUCAUGACAAUUCUAUGUUUUCUAUGUAACAAUGCCUCAGAUUUUGACAUAUCUAAAGUUUUUGGGCAAUUUCACAUUUGAUGAACACUUGUUCAUUUUAUAUUGUGCAGUAACAAGUGUGAAUUACAUGUUUUAUUGCAUGAAAUGUGCUACAUUGUCUUAUUUUUCUGCAUUUUUAUUGAACCAUAUGGAGAUCUAUGAUAUGUAAGUUUCUCUUCUUGCUUGCUUCAGGAUGAUUCCUAUAUAGAAAGUUACAUCAGUACAAUUGGUGUAGACUUUGUGAGUAUGCUUACACUUUUAUACCCUUCUCCCUCUUGCUCCCUUUUCUCCUCUCCCCACCCAAAACUUGUUUCAUGACAGUUUCUUUUUAUCUCAUUAGAAAAUUCGCACGGUAGAGCAGGAUGGGAAAACCAUAAAACUUCAAAUUGUAAGUAAGAAUGAAUUUAGCAUCUGUCGUGAAGCAUUUAGGUUCUUUUCAUGCUAUUACGUUUUCUCUUCAUUGCAGUGGGACACUGCUGGUCAGGAACGCUUCAGGACAAUCACAAGUAGCUACUACCGCGGUGCACAUGGGAUUAUUGUGAGAUCCAUCGUGAUUCUAUUGCUGUGAUUUCAGUUUUCAUGGUUUACUAUACUGUUUUGUUUGACAAUAUAUGCCUGACAGGUGGUCUAUGACGUAACUGACCAAGAAAGUUUCAACAAUGUCAAGCAGUGGCUGAAUGAGAUUGACAGGUAUGCCAGUGAAAAUGUGAACAAGCUUUUGGUGGGAAACAAGUGUGAUCUGACCGAUAAUAGGGCAGUAUCUUAUGAAGCUGGCAAGGUAAUUAUUGCUGUUAAGGAGUAACAAAGGCAGGAUCCCUCAUCUUCUGCAGUCUGCAAUUUGAGUCGAAUGAGCUAACAAUCUCUGGCCUUGGUUCCUGAAGGCAUUUGCGGAUGAGAUCGGCAUACCAUUCCUGGAGACAAGUGCCAAGGACGCUACGAAUGUAGAGAAGGCAUUUAUGACCAUGGCUGCUGAUAUAAAGAACAGGUGAGCUUUUAUUUGUCGACAUUUGCAUGGAAGAACACUCCAACCUCGUAGAAUUAUCACUGUUUGAUUCGUUUUUAGUCAAGCUUUUAGAUCAUACUGAUAGUGUCAUUGGAUUUUUGUGUACAGAAUGGCAAGUCAGCCAGCUAUGAAUGCCAGCAAACCUACGACGGUCCAGAUGCGGGGUCAACCAGUCGCCACGAAGAGUAGCUGCUGCUCCUGAAUCAAUUCAACACAAUCAUACGCCUUUGCUCCAGACGAGAGGUCAUUAUGCUGAUAAAAGUUGGGGGGCUGUUUAUGGCGUGUAUUUGUGAAUUACAAUCAGAAACUCUGCUUGGUUUGUAUUGGAUUUAAAAGAAACAGGUUUGUGUUUAUCUGCCACCCGGAUGAUCUUGAGGUAUUCAAGUAUUAAUGACACAAAUAGUUGCUAUCUUGAUCCUCGAACGUAAUUCAUCCUAUGUAUAUACAUAUUUGCUAGUUUGCACUGACUUGAUCUUGCACGGGCGAACGCUGCCGGCCUUCUCCUUUUUAAGUUUGAUGUUUUAUUAUUGAGUAACGUCUUGUGCCAAAUCAAUGUUGCAACCUUGAAUGCUACGACUUGUAAUCUGGCGCGUGCCAUGUGAGCCAUGUGAUCGCCGCGGAUGGAGUGUUAGGUUCGUAAAGGGUUAUCUCAUAAAAUCUAUAAAAGAGUAAAUUAAUUAGUUUAAAAACUAGAUAGGUUCUGAUAUCUGAUGUUAUUUAUAUGAUUAUUUAUAUGAUCAAUUCACGAAAGGUUAUGCAAGAGAAAAAAAAGAGGAAAGAGAAAACAAAUAUUUUAGAAUGCAAAUGAACAGUCGGAAGUCUGCAAAUGAUUGUUCACCGAGUGUCGAGGGCGAUGGCAAAUUCUUGUAGACUUUGAAAUUCGUUUCUAUUCAUAGUUUUCAAGCAAAAAUAUAGAAAAUUAAGGCAAAAUACACUGCUAAGCAUAUGUGCAAGCAAACAAAAGCGAUUAACAAUUCAUUGACAAAGAACCUAUCUAGUUUUUAACUGUUCGUGACAUUCUCCCUCACUUAAACUGUUGACGCUCUUCAUGCUCCCAAGUGUCUUCCGUUCGAGGAAGAUUUCAUCACUUUACUAAGUAUUCAGUCUGCUAUGCUCCGUUGGAUAGUUUUGUCUUAUGAUCCAUUAAAAUGAUUUCAACUCAUUUAUAAUAGGAAACUCUGGUGGGAGGUAACAAAGUUGAAAUACUUCAGGAAGCAUCCUACGGGUUUGAGUGAUAGGCUUGUAAGUUGCUUGCGUGGAAGACUUAAUGGAUUUUGAGUCACGCUUGUAGUUGUAACUUAUAGGAGACAUUGUCUACCAUGUUGAUAAUUGAGAAUGAUCCUUUGCGCACCAAUCUCUUAUGCACAUUAUGCUUAAAGAACUAGAGUGAUGCUAGUUGGAGCUUCAUCAAUACCAAGUCACCAAUUUUAAACUCUUAUGGUCGUGUUUCCAAGUUUGCCCAAUUCUUCAUCCUUUUGAUAACAUUUUCUAAGUAAGCUCACACAAAAUUUACAUUUUGGUGUUAUUCUUUUAUAAAGUGAUAUUCGGUAUAACCAAUCGCAGGUAUAAAGAGUCGAUGACUGUUGUCCCAUAAUGAUAUCGAAAGGACUCUAAUUAAAUGCAAAGCUCUACUGUAAGUUAUAGGAGAAUUGGGCUAUAUCCAAUAGCUUCAACUAAUCUCAUUAGUUAGUACUUACAGUGCCGAAGAUAUUACUUAAAGAGUAAAUUUGUUCUUUUAGUUUGGCUAUUUGUUUGGGUGUAAAGGUUUGUGGAGAAGUUUAACUUAGAUCCUAGUAAUUUGAACAACUCGAUCCAAAAUUGUCCAAAGAACCAUGCGUCUCGAUUACUAAUGAUAUUGUGCGGGACUCCCCAAUACUUCAGCACAUUCUUUAUCAUUAACUUGGUCAUGUCUUCUGUUGAGCAGUGUAAGGGUGCAACAAUGAUUGUUGCAAAUUUUAAAAAUCGAUCAACUACCACAAGUAUCGAUCCAAGUCUUUCUAUUAUCGGCAAGCUUGAUAUGAAGUAUAAAAAAAUAUUCUCCCGUGACCUUUUUGGUACGGACAAUGACUCAAAAAAUUUCAUUGGCUUUCAUUGCUUUACUUUGUGAUAAAUAAGACACGUUCGAAUAUAUUACUCCACAUCGGUCUUCGUUUUCGGCUCAUAAAAGACCCUCUCCACGAGACCCAAUAUUUAGUGAAUGUUUAGAUGUCUAACCUAAAAGAAAUCAUGACAUUCUCUUAGGAAUUUAUGCCUCAAACUAUUCAUUUAAAGAACAUAAACUUUAUUACUUCGAAGAACAUACUUUAUCAUCAAACUCAAUAAACUAUUGAGUAUCACAUUCUCAUCAGCUUAAUAUCAACUCGGAUGUCUUGUCACUUCGAUAUUUGGUGGGCUGAUGUUGGGUUGCAAUGAUGUAAUUGUCCAAAAAGUUAAUUUGAUUUUUAAUUACCCUAAUGUUUAUUUACUUCAAUCAGUUAUCAAAAAUCAUUAUAAAAAGCCGAGAUACGAUUAGUUUGACCAAAGAUUAUUAUAACACUAUAAGAAAAACCUUAGUUAGCUCUGAAUCUCCUUCCGAUGGAUAAUAAAUUUAUUAUUAUAAAUUAGUGUUAGAACGAGGACCUAAUAUAACUCAUAUAUCAUAAGAUAAUUGAGUCAAAACCUCAUGAGAUCACAUAAAAGAUUCGAUACUAUUAACGCAAACACUUGCUUUGAGAAUAGGAUUAGGAAACCCUUUUUUCCUUAUCCUUAAAGCACAGUAACACUUCAACAUUUAGAUGAUGCUAGUUACAUCACUUAUGAUGAAUCAAUCAUCGUGCUGAAUUAGUUGUAGAAUAGACCAUGUAUAAAAAUAGAUCAACAGACACAAAUGAAUCGAUCAACAAACACAAAUGAAUCGUUUAAGCAUUGUAAAUCAAAAUUAAAUAAUAUUUUUUCACAAGUGAAAGAUACUAAUAAAUAAAUAUAAAUAUAAAAUAAAUUUAGAAUAUUUUUAUAAUUUAAAAUAUUUGAUUUCGAAACAUGACUCUAAUAUCAAUUAUAAACAUAAAACUAUAAUAUAUUAAUAUUAUGUAAAAAUACUGAUAUAUUAAAUUUAUAAUAUAUACCUUUGAAUACCGGUCGGAAAACCUUUAUUUGAUUUACAAACACACAUCAUUGAAUUUGAAAGUUACAAUAAUAUUAAUUUAUAAAGAGAACUAUAUUUCUUUUCUUAUUCUUGUAAACUAUAAGCAAUAAAUUAGAGACAAAUAAAAGAUCUUAGAAAUAAAUAUUUUGAGAAGAGCCAACACAAGUUCCUAAAAGUCAAGUCGACGAUUUCAAGUCAUAACCCCUUAAAAACUAUAUUUGAGAGACAAAUUAAAAGGACUCAACUUAAAGGAACACAACUUUAAAUGUUACAAAUUAGAUCUCCAUGGAGUUGUAGGACACUUUGGAGAUGCUAAACAAUCUCAUCACAAUAAAUGAUACUCAACUUAACAAUACACAACUCAAAAGUGUCCUACAAACAUUAGAGAUCAUCACUCUAAUACUUAUCUUAAUUAUAAGCAGCCUCUAAAUCCCCUUAAGAAAGAGAUUUUUGCCACACACAUCCCCAAGCAAUUUUGUAAGAAUGUAACCAAACCCAGGUGAAGUACUAUUACAUGAAUCAAACAUUCAAACAUUAUAUCGACAUUAAUGAAACAAUUGAUUCUCCUUUCUCAAGGCAUCAAUUUGCAAUCGCCACUCCAAAACAUACUAACCAACAUUGUAUCGACAAUAAAGAAAUAAUUGAUUCUCCUUUCUCAAGGCAUCAAUUUGCCGGGACAUUAAUAAACGGAUUGAAUGUCAAAUAAGGCUUCAAAGUACGUCUAUCCGCGUACUGGUUGGUACCUAUCGGUGAUCGGACGCCAAUAAGAGGCUCAGAAUACAUUGCUCAGAAGCCAAGCGUAACAAAGGCACUUCAUCGAAGACCCAAUUUGGUUGAAAGGAUCUUCUUACGUGUUAGCAGCUCAUCAUAGCAAUGUUUUCUCGGUGUUGACGAAAACCACACAGGCGAACGCUAAAUAAGCAGGUUUAGAAUCGAUACUGCUUAGUCUUUUGAAACACAUGGCUGUUUCAUACGGCCAAAAAGGAAAACUCGAAUGCAUUAUAGAAAAUGAAGCGCCAAUCAUGCAUAUCUCCACAAAUUGCUACAAGAAAUAUCAAUUGUUUGGCGAGCUAAUCUACAUCAUGUAAUGAAUGAUACCUAGAACUCAGUGAACGCUUGCCUGCUUCUAGUCCCAGAAUCAAAAGACAGAGACACUGAAUGCUUAGAAUCAAGGGAAAGGGAACCCGAAAUCGUUGCCAGAGACGGAAAAAAAGGACAAGAACGAAUGACUUGCAUAAUCGGGGAUCAAGCGAUUUUUAACACAAAUCAAUUUUGUAUCGAAGCAAAGAGUAAAAUCCUGGAGAAACCGAAACAAUCAGCGAAAAUCCAACUGCGCAAUAUCACAAGUGCACAAACUUUGACCGACAAGAGGUCUCCUCACUACAACCAAGGACCACGGGUCUCCGGCUGAAAUCAUUCGCGAAGCCCCUAGAAACAGUGGAACAAAGGCAACGACGAAGGAUUCGGCGAAAGAAAGGGGAGAGGAAACGAGGAGGUAAGGUCGCCUCCGCAAGCGAAUGGGAGGACGCGAACGAAUCGGAAGCUCGGACCACCACCGCUUAUAUAGCGCUGGAGGUCCGAAAACCCUAAAGCGUUCGGCCGAUCGCCUCCUCGUGUUAUGACCUAAGUGCCCCUGGUGGCCGAUUUGUUCGUUCCUUAUGUUAAGACGAAAGUACCCUUGAGCGUCCAAGAACCAACGGUUUCAGAUCCGUAUGUUAUGACGAAAGUACCCUCGAUCUUCCAAGAACCAACGGUUUUAGAUCCAUGGGCUAAAUAAAUAGCAAAUGCAAUAGAGACGCAUGUAAUGACGGAAGUGCCCCCGUAGGACCCAAGAAUUCCAAUCGACUCCAACGUAUUUGGAGCCUUCUGAUGCCUCGAGCAGAGUGAAAGGGAAGCCUUCAUCCAAAGCUUUGGGGCCGGAUUUGAAGUGAGAAAAAAUUGUGACAAAUACACAGCUGAAACUUAUACAGAUUAAUUUUAAUUUUCGUGCAUUAAUGGCUCCUCACAAGUAUGUGCUUUCGCUGGACCGACAGCAGAAAGCGCCUCAAAGAACGGGAGGAGGUCGCUAACAAGUCUCUCGUGAAUUCAUAUGACCACGGAAAGUCUCGCCAGCUCCCAAAGCAAUAUGAAGAACAAGAAGAAAAAGACGCAUAUCGCAUAGAGAAGGAAUGCCACAAAGCGUCUCUUCCUUGUGCUGUAGGCGAUGAUAGGGCAUGUAAGCGAGUUGGGAACAAAACUGAAAAGGACAAGUAGUUCAGGAAAAAGGAAACGAAACUAAGAUUUAGAGAUGAUAAAAAAAAAAAAAUCCACAGUAUUAAUCGAGGUACUAACAUUGAGAACUAGUCAUACCACUCCUCUCAAAGAAUCCAGUUUUUGAUGAAAUAAGAGACUGAAUUCAAAACCAUAAAAGAACAUAGGAAAAGCUUAUCGAAAUUUUUUGAUGAACAGGACAAAGAUUUAGCUUCUCAAAAUUUUUCGAUGAACAUGACAAAGCUCCUCGAAACCAUUAAGAUUUUCAAUGCUACAUCAAAACUCGAAGCAUUAUAUCUUCGUCUUGGAUGUCUACAUCAUAUACAGUCAUCAUAUCAACCUCGGACGGACUGAAUAUGUUUCGACCUGGCUACAGACACAGCUCAACAAUUCUCCCUUUCCCCAAUGAACUGCAAUGAGAUAAAAGAUAUGGACAACAUUAUGCAUCAAACAAGCAGUAGAAAUUUACAGUGUCAGUGACCGAGAAAUGCCAAGUAGGUAGAAAGCACACACUCAUGACCGAGUCAUGCUUUGAGAAAAGUCAUUGUUCCAAUACACUUGAUGUUAGCUAUUGCUUGUCAAUCGUGUUGACGAGCUCAAUGCUUCAGUGAUCCUACUGAAGACGAGUCUAAGUGGAACACAUGCAACGGCAGGUCCCACCAUCUUUUCAACCACUGGCUUUCUCUCUUCUCCCUUUUCUUUCUGAUCAACAUUAAUUGAUGACAGCCUUCUGAUCUUUCUGGGAGACAACCUUGGUUUCCUGUUUUUCGAAUAUUUCCUUUUCAAUGAAGUAACAUUUGUAACUUCACAGUUUAUCCCAACAACAUUGAGAUACAUCUGGGCCGACUUCCUUUUAGGUAGCGAUUUCCCAAUACUAUUUCCCCCAUCCUUCAGUGACUGAUCAAUAUGCCUGGUAGUUAACAGAGUAUCGACUAAGCCAUCUUCCACAACCUCUAUAGGAACGGGGUGACCGACAAUUUCUUUACUAUUUGAUUUACUCAUGAGAGAUAUUAGAGGUACAUGAGGUCCACGAUAGCUUGAUUGUACAGUCACUUCAACAUCGUAUAGACAAGAACCCACACCUGUAAAUUUCAGUUGCUUCGACACCUGAUACUUAGAGCUAGUUGAUAGAGAAACCUGGCCAUGAGGAAACAAUCGUUGAAUCAGCAGAGCGGAGAUAGGCACAUGUCUCUUGGAUGAUCUAUCUUGAUCUCUUGCAUGUGCAGGCUGAAUUUUUACAAGUUCUGACAGGGAAUGUCCAUGUUCAUCAGAAAGGUGAAGAUCAGAACUCUGAUUUGGGGGAACGUCAUGUACCUCUGAGACUGAUUCAUCCUUCACCAACUGACCACCAUGAGAAUUGGAGGUCACGGAUUCACCAAAACAACUGCCAUCAAUUUUACAACCUGCAAAAUACCUUUCCUCCUGUAUUUUACCCUUCAAGGAACUGUCAGGAACAGCCCCAUUCAUAAAGUUUUCUGAACUUGUAUUUUUGCUAAACCUUGAAUUGUUCAGGUUCUUUUUAUGGUUUAAAUGCCGUUCCAAGGACCUUUUUUCUGUUUCCCCUUUGAUGUUCUUAAACCGACCCUCCGAGCCAGUGAAGCUACUCUCACCAAGUCCUUCUGUGAAGUGUGAUUCAAGUUCAUCCUGGUGGCAACCAUUAUGUUGCUUUUCUGCUACAUCAGGGUGAAGAUCUCUAGUUGGAAAGUGUUCAAACAUGAUUGAAAAAUCUGGAACAUCAUAUUACAAACAAGUUAGUCAUUUUUACAAUCAAGAUUAUUGCAUUAACAUGGAAGACAAAAAGUGCACAUUCUCUGCAUUCUAAAUUGUAAUUAUGUACAUAACACCAACAUCAUAGUAACAGAAGAAUAACAUCUAGUUAUUUCAGUGCUGAUAAUUUUAUUUGGCACAGUUUAUAGUCUCACACAUAUGGUUGCCUUAAACUUAUGUUUCUUUAAAACAACUAAGCACCUUUAUAGAUCAAAACUAACUAACGAAUAAACAAGUGAGAGAAAAGAAGUUGGAAAGCAACAAAGUGACAUGAAAAGAUUACAGAACGAAAAAAUAGUCAGCAAAAAAUCCUGACAUAUUAUCAAGUUCCCAAAAAGAUAUAUGAUUAAUAUAUCAGUAGUAAGAAUCUGCAUUAACAAGAUUAAUUAAACAUGAAUUUACCAGCAAACAAGGGUAAAUGCUGAGUCUUUGGUAUCAUCAGGUAAAGACAUUCAAGUCAACUCCUAAUAAAAGAAAUUUUAAGGGUAAUGUGGGUGUGCAAAAUACAGACACCAUAACAUUGUUUGGUGAAAGAAGCAAGCUUACAUAAGCAUAAUUUGAAAUAUGUAAUUUCCUCAAAGAAUGACAAAAUGUUCUACAUGUAUAUCUCCUCACAAACUCAUGCAAAGUUGGUAGUCACUACAGUAGAAAUUGUACUUACGACAGUGUGCAUAAUAUCCUACUGGUGCAUGCUGCAGCAUGCCUGUGCAUAAUUGAUGUAGAUCGAGAGGUCAUGAAUCGGUCUAGGUUAAGAUGGGCCAUAUUACUUUUUCUGUUUUUAAAUAUUUAAGAAAAUUCUCAUUGCUUCUUUAUAUUUUGGAAAUAAAUAUCAAUGAGUUUGAGUCCCAAAAAACCAAGGACUCAAACUCACAAGCUAUACUGCCAUCUUUAUAUUUUGGAAAUAAAUAUCAAUGCUUUUACGUCAGAAAAAUAAACAAUGAAUAAGCCAUGGUCAUUAGUUUCUUACAACAAGGGGGGGGGAAAGACAAAUUUUUGGAGCUUGAUUGUUGAUAGAAAGGUCCUAUGAUCGAAUCUCAUCUUUGACGCUUACCAAAGUGAAAAUAAAAAGAGCUUAAGGGAUAAUAGUAACAAUAUUCUUAACCUACUAGCUUAACAACACGAAAAAUUCAAGAUGUAUAUGAACACUUAAACAGUAGUAGAAGUCAAGACUUGCAAUCAAGGUAAGAUAAGCUGAACUGCAACACGGAUAUGAUAAACAGAAAUGCACUCUCUACAACCAUAGGUAAUACUUGUUUACAAGGAACGCAGUCUCAUACCGACUGGCCAUAUCAGUCCUAGUCGAACAGGUACAUACAUACCCACUGAUAUAAGUGUAUGGCACAUGGUACACGAGUAUGUACCAAUGAAAUAGAUGGCAGCGGAGAAGAAAGGAGGAAGGAGGAAGAGGAAGUAAGAAAAGAGGCAGUGAAGAAAGAGGAGGAAGAAGAAAAAGAAGGAAGAGGAAAGAAGAAGAGGUGGCCGUGGAGGAAGGAGGAAGGGGGAAGAGGAAAAGGAUACAAGAAGGAUGGAGGAAGAAGAGGAGGAAGAGAAGGAAACAUAUCUGAAACGACAGCAGGCAAUGGGCGGCGGGCAGUGAGAGGUGAUAGCAAUGACUCGGAUGAGUGUCGGGGAAGAGAGCUAACGAAUGCAAGCCCAAACUUGUUUUUUUUUUUAUUGGUUGGAACAGACUGCCUGAAACGCGAUAGUCCAUGUACCAUUCUAUGUCCAAACCGGUAUGCUUUACUUAUCUGAGCAAAACAGCAUUCCUCGGUUGUGUACAUAUAAUCCUCUCCAACCUUCCAUUGGCACAAAAAAUCAUGUACCAAGCUAUAGUUAGUAAUAAAUUAAGUAGACGAUAAGAAAGAGAUGACACUCAUCCAAGAAUAUGACUGCAAGAAUCUAGAAUUCAUCAAAAAAGGAAAAAAAAUUAUAAUAGAAACAAACCCUCAAAUGUAAUAAUCCAGGUGAAAAAAAUUUCUGGAUAAGUACCUAUGAUGACCAAGUAUGCAGCAUAAGGACACAUCUUAAACUAAAACUGGGUUUAAGCUACAAGAAGCAUAAAAAUCCUUAUAGUAUGUCAAUACCAAUAUCCCACUCUACAGUGGGCAGCUGCAAAAUCCAAGUUCGUUGACAAGGUAACAUUGACAGAUUAUCUGGUAUAACAAUGGCAUCCAAGUCAUGUAACUUAGUAAUGCCAAUUUAUGAUCAGAAUGGCAUAAUAAAUGGCACAUGAAUGCACUGAAAAUGCCUAACAUUAGUUUACCAUGCUGAAGCAACAAGAUGUGUCAUCUCAUGCAAUUUAACUUUAAAUGUCAGGAUCUUCAUUGUUAUUCAAAUUUAGAAAUAGAAGAAAAUUAUAAGAAGAUCAAUUUUUAACACAAACAAAGGAGGAAAUUUGUAAGCAUACCUUCCCUGAUAUUGUCUGCCAUUAUCAGGGGAAUAUCAAUGAGGCCAUCGGAGCAGUCAUUGUCAAUAAACUCCAACAUGCUCGCAAGCUCCGAGUCCUUUACUUCAGAAUCAAAAUUUGCAUCAUCAAUUUCACGAGUGUUCUCACAAGCAUUCAACAAUGCCUCACUUGAAGUUCCUGAACAGUGUGGGCUGACGGUGAUGUCACAUGAAAUAUCUGUCCUCCUUGAAUUAGAUAGCAAUUCAUUCAACUUAUUUGGAGAAGCCCCUUGAAGAGAUGGUUGCCCUCCAAAAGCACCAUCCCAGUGACAAUAUGAUGGAACUAUAACUUUAGUACCCUCGCAAACUUUACUAAGUGCUAGUCGACGAUCUUUUCUUCUCACAUUCUCAUGAGAUUGGGCCACAUGUGAUCUCUUCCUUUUCAGGGAUGAAAAAGAAUCUUUGCUGCUCUUUAUUGAACUCAAACUAGAAAAUCCAUCAUAAAUGUCUGACUUGCUAAGUGAAGCAUUGUCAGGAAGGCCUAGCUCAGUGGACCAUCCUGUGCUAGCAUGCACAUUAGGCUUUCUAUUGGAUACAACCCCCAAACCUAUUUCCUGAAGAUCUCUCAUUCGUUUUAUUCCUUCGUUAUCUUCUGAAUCAUUUGGAGUUUUCCUUCUUUUUUUUUCUGAUUGCUUAAUAUCAGGAGAAAUCAGAUCGUUUGUUUGUUCAUAUGACACUAAAGAUUGAGAUACCUCUUGAGCCGAAUUCUCCUCAAGAACAUCGAGUUUCCUGGCCACAUGACCUAAUUGUUUGUCAAGCCCAUAUACCUUUCUUGACUUCAUGGGAAAAUCAUAACCCAUUGUUCUGAAAGGGUCCUUCACUCCUGAGCCAUUCUGCUUCCCAGUAAGGAAGUAAGCCUUUUCAAUCUCCAGGGCAUGGAGAAUGGCAUCUUCUCUGCGAAUGUACUUCCCUGUACUGGUUGAACUUUUCUUUGAACGGAUUGCAAAAGCCAUGGCCUUCUGAAUGCACUCAUCAAACUCCCCACAACGAAAUGCUUUGACACGAGUUGAUUUUGCAAGAUUAUACCAGUCCCUGAUUGCAAGUUGAUUAUUAGCAAACUUAAGCUUAUACUGACUGCAUGGUACUUAAACCAUGAAAUAGAAAGGUGAACAGAUAUAGCAUAUGUGCAUAUAGCUACUUUGCUCAGAUUUUGUAACCGCAUAAUUCAAGAUACAGAAAAUCAUGCACCAAACAUAAAUAAACGAAAGAAGGCACAAUCAGUAUCAUUGUUGUUGCCAUGUUCCUUGUUAUUUUCCAAGAUGUCACUGAGCAACUUAGGUUGGCCUUGAUGCACAACUGUUAAGUCAAUAAGGCUCCAUGGAAGGUUUGAGUUGCCUUUUUUUUAUAGCUCUCUGUCUAAAGUUGACUAAAAAAUUACCAUCAAAUCCCAGCCAAAAUAGAAGUAGUGGCAGCAAAUGAACUCAUUUUACAUCCCUUGUCUUUAAAGCCAGCUGAAACAAUGGUGUGAGGUAGAAUUAAAAAAAAAAAAGACAAUGAUCCAUAUGGUUCAUGUUAACAGAAUCGGCUACUAAUAAGUGUUCAGUGUUAAAUCUUAUCAUCUGAUCUUCAGUGGAUAUGAGAAUAGAAAAAAAAGAAAAUCUGUAACCAAAUACAAAACAGAACAUCAUUCAAGAUACGAAGAAUAUUCAGGCCACUUAAAAUAGGCAGAAGAAGGGGAUCUACAGAUGAGGAUACUCACAUGCUCCCAUCUUCUCUACCAAGAAGCUUGAUGGGAGUCCCUGAUCUCGGCGGAAGCACACAUUUCGCUGGCAAUUCAUCCCGACCAACAACCCGGCCCGGCCACCAUGACCCGUUAGGGCGACGCACCCACACGAGGCCCCCAGCCGACACAUUGUUGCUGCUCAAAAUCCCAUCUUGUUCACUGCCCAUAGAAAAAGAACUCGAAUCCACCAAAUCAAGAAUCACACGAUGUCGUACUGCUCCACCUACAAAGGGAACCGACGAAGCAAAACAAGAACAAGAAGAAACUGUUAGGUUACUGAACCACUCAUGCAUGGGUUUCUUGAACCAUCAGCCCAAAACUCGUUGGAGAAGGAUUAAAAAUGAAAGAUAAGAAUGGGGGAAUAUACUCCAUUAUGCAUUAGAGGAGGGGGAGAGGGGGUUGGGAGAGAGGGAAAUCCUAGAACAGAUGCUGCUACCUCGAAUAACCAAGAAAACAGAAGAGAUAUGCGAAGUGAACAAGGAAGAAACUUUCAAAGAGCACUAAAAACUCUUCGAUAGAAGAAGAAAGGCAACGAAACAAACCAAAGGAAAUAAAAGAGACGAGCUAUUCUUCGACGGAGAGGAAAGAGGGAAAGGAGGCUCUCCCCGGCAGAGGAGAAACAAGGACCAAAGGGACCAAAAAAACUGAAAAAAGAUGAUUAAAAACGAGAAUAAGAAUCAAGGACGGGGAGAUGAUUUCCAUCUGCACCUCUCCUACCUCUUCUUUCGGGUUCGUCGCUAUAGAAAGCGGCUCGAUCUUGUUUUCUCCAUUACACUUAGUUGCCGGGACAGCUGCGGAAGAGAAGGUUGGUGGGAGCGGAGAUGUCUGCAAUGGCAGAGAAGGGAGGAGAGAGCAGUGUUGGGAUGCGUUUCCUUUAGGAAGAGGUGGAGAGGAGGAGGAGGAGCGACAGACGGCGAAGCGAGUGAGGAAGGAGGGGGCGAGAGAGAGAGAGAGACAGAGAGACAAAAGUGCGAGCAGGAAGCAGCGCAUCCGGCGCAGGGAUUAGUACGAGUUGGGCUUUGGCCCGGCCAAAUGGGACUCGGUGCUGGUAUCUUCAGGACUCGAGUGACGCAGGAAGACGAAAGAACGACAUCGGCGGACACACAUGGCGACGAGCUGCUCAUCACCGAUGAUCCCGUUCUUAAUCCAACUGUGCCUACCGUUCACAUACCAAUUAUUCAUAAACAAACGACAAAGAUCUUAACAGCCGUCAAAGAAAAAUAGGGUUUCGACUCUCAUUUCGUUUAGAUAUUAGUUUUCAGAGAAAGAACAAAAAAAAAAAAAAAGAAGCCAUCUGUAGCCGAUCUCACUGUCAUAAUGUUUUAUUAUUAUUAUUUUUUUUCUUCUAUCAAAAUUUCAUUUGAUUUUAUUAUUUUAAAUUGAUCAACGAAACGGUCCGACCAUAACCUUUCAUUUCAUGGUCAGGACAUACAUAUAUAUUCAGUAAUUUAACGUCCAAAACUUGAGCAGCAACCAUGAACACAUCUAAAUUCCAAGAUGAUACAAGGAAAAGCAACAACCAUGAACACAUCAAGAGUUUCAACACAAUGUUGUUUACCAAUAUCGCAUCAAUACCAAUCCCAAAUAUUUAAACCUCAUCUUUAUGCAUGUUUUCGCUGAACCCAUAAGUACUUCGUCACGCCUCAAGUGCUUCAAAACAAAGAUAAAAGGAUUCCUCGCAGGAGCAAUGUCGCCAAUAAUAUAUGAUCAAAGAAAUGAGAGCGUAUCAUGUAUAAAACGCAAAUAUCACUCGAUCAACUCGUAAAAAUGGCACCAAAAAGGAGAAAGUAGCACAUUUGUGGAAGCUAUUUACCAAACAAUAACCAGGAUAUUUUAGGUCCCGUAACAAAUAAAAGUCAUCUGUACUCCAGAUUUAACAGUACAAGUCCUCUUGAUCUUUUUCUGUGUUCCACAUGUCAAACCACUCUGGCUUUAUACACGCAGAUGUAUGCCAUGUGCCAAUCACCUGCCAGAAAUGUUCAACUUCGUUUGAGCAAAAGUCCAACAACAACAAAAAAGUUCAAUAAUUCUCUCUUUUAAGUGUCUUACCACCGCCAGAUAGUUUUGUAAUAUCUUCUUCCCUUUGUGGGAUUGGAUUGUCAUCAUCAUAUUGAAUCCAUUUUCCUGCAUCAUCAGCAGUUUUCACGAUAAGAAACGAAAUGAAUGACAAAGGGCAAGCAAAGGAAUAUCUAAGCCUAUUAGACAGACCAUUUUCUUGUUUCACCCAGGCAACGUAGUGCCCAGAGUCAGCACUCCUUCCCUUGUGAGUAAGCACAGCUACCAAAUCAUAAAUUCCAGUUAACUGCCCCUUAUCUUCAGAAGAUACAGCUGUCGACAUCAGAGCAAAGAAAAUAAGCGACUUUGAUCUAAAUUGGUAGGUAUCAUCCCCUGUAAUUUCAUAGUUCAUAUAAAAGUCAGGCAUCUUGUGAAUUUAUCGAUUGGUGGUGUUUACUUAUGUAAUGAUUCAUGAAUCUGUAAGUUAUCAAGUUCCUUAACCUGGACGAACAAACUAUGCUUAUUGCUGUGUAACAUGGAGGAGAUAUUAGGGGUAUCAUCCUCAGAUGGAGCCAUGACCUGUGGAGUCUUUUAAUUAGUCUUCCCAUGGUUUAAACAUGAGGAAACAGCAAAGAACAAACAAAUGCAUGCAAAGCAUUUCCCCCCUUCCCUUCCUUUUUAAUGUUCUAUGUAAAUUUAGCUGCAUCGUUUCAAUGUUCUGUGUAAAUUUGGCAGCACUCUGUCUAGUUUUUUUCGAGAGAAGCAAUACUGAUAAGCACCUCUCAUAAAUGAAAGGACAGAAAAUUGAAAGAGAAUAAAAAUAAAAAGUAUGGAGGUUGGGUAGGGAAAACAAAUGGAAUUUAUAACAUGCAUUACAAUAAUGAAAAGAAAUCUAGGAAACCAACAACAUGAUAACUUGUUGGUUGCCAAUCCUUCAUACGCAAGGGUCUUGUAUACACAGAUGCAUUAGGGUGCAGGUGUAGAUAAUAAGCGGAUGAGCUAUGAUCCACAUCAGUGAGCACCAGACAUGAUCUUUGUUCAGUAGAAAGAGGAUCCAUGGUGAAAACCAUAAAGAAGUUUCUCAACUUGUGUUCGGAAAAAAGAUACCAUAGGACACCCAGUAUUUUGCAAUACUUCUCAACUCUAAAGAAGUAUGCACUGAAAGUUCUUAAUUUUGCAAUACCACAAAAGACGCCCAGUAUGUUCAUCCCGACCACAAAAUUGUCAUAAACACACAUCCCACACCCCCACCCAAAAAAAUGAAAAAUUGAUGCACCUAAUGAACCAACACAAAUCAUGAUUCCAAUACACCCAUAUAUCCAUCUGAACACAGUAUGUGGUGUGCUAUGUAUAUGAGAUUUCACUAAAGUUUGAUGAUGCUGAAUUCAGACACCAUAAUAUUGAUUGGAAAGAAGGGGAUCGUAAAAGAACCAAACCUGAAAUGCAGUUAGACCACUAAAUGGGCCAAACUAAGGACAGAAUCAUACAUGUCAGGCCCAAGUCAGAUGCAGGUCAGCCUGUACCAAAAACCCUAACCCUACCCUUGGUCAUCAGAGAAAGGAAGAAUACAAGUUCAUCUGAUGAACUUCGGAGGCAAAUGAUAUGUCAACAAUUAUAAGCAUUUGAGAUAGUCAUGAAGGAUGUUAUCAAUCAUAAAUAGGGCUUAAAUUGUUGACAAUGAAAUGCGUUGAGAAGCAUGAUUAAGAUGGCAAUUGGGAAAUACAGAAAACACAAGAAACAUCAUACUAUUAUAAAUUAAUGCCUUCGAGCUGCAAGCAAAUAAUUGGGAUGCAAGACCACUGUGAUGGAGAGUGAUAUCCGACUACACGACCUUUUGUUAAACUCUACAUGGACCUUCAUACAUCAACAAUAACUAUCAAUUACCUUUGUCAAGAGCCAUGCUAGAUGGUUCACUACUAUCAUUAGAUGACCCCUGCAGAACAUUCAAGAAAACAAAGAAAAAGAGAAUAGAGUUAAGCAAGUGAAGCAAGUGAAGCAACUUAUUCUAGCACAUAUUUACAAUAAACCAGCCUCUUCAUAAAUAUUUGUGAUGCUAAAAUGACUUCUUGACACUGUGUCACUUCUCAGAAGGCCUUAGCAUUACUACCUAAAUGCUGCUAUGAUUACUAUUUUGCAAUCUAUAAGGUGGGUACCAUAUCCAAUUUUAGUAUCAGUUGAGAAGCUGCUAAGCCUAAUUAGCACCUUGUUACCGCUUGUCCGAUCCAACUCAGUGAGUUCAAUGACAAUAGAUUCCAACCUUUAUACUUACUAUUCAAUACCAAAAGAACUGCAGGUCUAAUCAACAAUAUAUAUGCAAUUUAUAUAUGUUCAAUGAUUAUUGGGCUCACCUAAUCAUUGAUUUACAUACCAAAAGAAAGAGGGCUGUCUUGAUUUACAUACCUCUGAUGUAGGCAUGUUGACUUCAUGUUCCUUCUUCUUGUCUUCUACUUUUAAUCCAAGCUUGACAUUUUCUAACUCUCGUAGUGUCUUAUCCAUGUCAAUUGAGCAAAUCACGGGUAAAUUAUAAGAAUAUCAGUAAAAUAUUGUAAUUUUCCGUCAAACUAAAGGGCACAAAAGAAAGGUGGGCAAAACCUGACGAGGAGUCUGAAGCUUUUGACGAAGUUCAUCUGAACAGAACUCAUAAACAUCAAGUUCCAAAGGAUAAUCCACUUUCUGAAAAAAAAAAAGGGAAACAAAAUAAGCUUCCAUGUCCAUGGCAAGGACCACUGAAACUCUUGAUAGUUAUUGCCAGAUUCAAAUCAUUUAACAAACAUACACAAAAGAAAAAAGAAUAUCACAUGAAUUCACCUAUAAAAUUUACAAAGGAAAGCGGCACUCCAAAGAUACACGAUAAAGUAUAAAACUAACAUACCCGCAAUAUUUUUGCCUUCUGGUUAGACUCCCUUUUCCAGAAGAAACGAACAAACUGAACAGUCAGAUACCUGAGAAGGAAAUCAAAUAAGAACCAUCUUCAAAACAAUGAACAAUCAAGUCCCGGAGAAGGAAAUCAAAUAAAUAACCAUUUCGAGAAAAAAUAUUAAAACUAUUUUUAGAAGAAAAAAA
Molecule: long non-coding RNA, 29015 nt
Filed under: Musa acuminata (dwarf banana)
Lineage: Eukaryota; Viridiplantae; Streptophyta; Magnoliopsida; Zingiberales; Musaceae
Description: long non-coding RNA (MACU_LNC004203)
Source: RNAcentral